UCGAGAAUCUUCCGCAAUGGACGAAAGUCUGACGGAGCGACGCCGCGUGGUGGAUGAAGCCCUUAGGGGCGUAAACACCUUUUAUGCGUGAAGAAGUAUAUUGACAUUAGCGCAUGAAUAAGGGGCUCCCAACUCUGUGCCAGCAGGAGCGGUAAUACAGAGGCCCCGAGCAUUAUCCGGAUUCACUGGGCGUAAAGGGUGCGUAGGCGGUGUGAUUAGUCAGGUGUAAAAUCUUUGGGCUCAACCCAAAGCUCGCAUUUGAAACGGUCACACUAGAAGAAGUCAGAGGCAAGCAGAACUCUCGGUGUAGGGGUGAAAUCCGUUGAUAUCGAGGGGAAUACCAAAUGCGAAGGCAGCUUGCUGGGACUUUCUUGACGCUGAGGCACGAAAGCAUGGGUAGCGAACGGGAUUAGAUACCCCCGUAGUCC
This 428-nucleotide ribosomal RNA is filed under the name uncultured prokaryote. RNAcentral's name for it is "bacterial SSU rRNA". It matches the Rfam family "Bacterial small subunit ribosomal RNA", at positions 355 to 796 of the family's 1533-position model. The record is from RNAcentral.